GGCGGUUCUCGGGUGAUGCACCCCAGAAUCAGGCUCCCUCCUCUCUGGUUCCGGGUCCGAGAACCGCA
This is a non-coding RNA of Myotis brandtii (Brandt's bat), 68 nucleotides long. The record is from Rfam. NCBI's taxonomy places the organism in Eukaryota, Metazoa, Chordata, Mammalia, Chiroptera, Vespertilionidae.